Molecule: ribosomal RNA, 253 nt
Filed under: uncultured bacterium
Lineage: Bacteria
Description: partial 16S ribosomal RNA
Rfam family: Bacterial small subunit ribosomal RNA
Source: RNAcentral
UACGUAGGGUGCAAGCGUUAAUCGGAAUUACUGGGCGUAAAGCGUGCGCAGGCGGUUUUGCAAGUCAGAUGUGAAAUCCCCGGGCUUAACCUGGGAACUGCGUUUGAAACUACAAGGCUAGAGUGUGACAGAGGGGGGUGGAAUUCCACGUGUAGCAGUGAAAUGCGUAGAGAUGUGGAGGAACACCGAUGGCGAAGGCAGCCCCCUGGGUUAACACUGACGCUCAGGCACGAAAGCGUGGGGAGCAAACAGG